UACGUAGGGUGCGAGCGUUAAUCGGAAUUACUGGGCGUAAAGCGUGCGCAGGCGGUUGUGCAAGGCAGAUGUGAAAUCCCCGGGCUCAACCUGGGAACUGCAUUUGUGACUGCACGGCUGGAGUGCGGCAGAGGGGGAUGGAAUUCCGCGUGUAGCAGUGAAAUGCGUAGAUAUGCGGAGGAACACCGAUGGCGAAGGCAAUCCCCUGGGCCUGCACUGACGCUCAUGCACGAAAGCGUGGGGAGCAAACAGG
This 253-nucleotide ribosomal RNA is filed under the name uncultured bacterium. Its description in RNAcentral is "partial 16S ribosomal RNA". It matches the Rfam family "Bacterial small subunit ribosomal RNA", at positions 524 to 776 of the family's 1533-position model. The record is from RNAcentral.